RNAcentral lists this ribosomal RNA (253 nucleotides) under uncultured bacterium. Its description in RNAcentral is "partial 16S ribosomal RNA". It matches the Rfam family "Bacterial small subunit ribosomal RNA", at positions 524 to 776 of the family's 1533-position model. The record is from RNAcentral.
UACGGAGGGUGCAAGCGUCAUCCGGAUUCACUGGGUUUAAAGGGUGCGUAGGAGGACUGGUAAGUCAGUGGUGAAAUCCCCGAGCUUAACUUGGGAACUGCCGUUGAUACUAUCAGUCUUGAAUACCGUGGAGGUGAGCGGAAUAUGUCAUGUAGCGGUGAAAUGCUUAGAUAUGACAUAGAACACCAAUUGCGAAGGCAGCUCGCUACACGAAUAUUGACUCUGAGGCACGAAAGCGUGGGGAUCAAACAGG